GACAGAGAACCAGAGUGUUACUAAGCACAGAGAGAAACACGGACAGGACAACGAGAGGAUGGGGACAGGUGGUAACACACCAGGGACACAUCAGACCUAACGAGACGAGGGGACGCAUACCCACACACACUGCACCCAGGACAGGGACUAUCAAAAUAAAACAGGAAACACACGACAGGCACAGGGGCACGGCCAUGACACUGAACAGAGGGAACACGGAGCACAGGGACGGCGUGCCAAACUGCCACAGGACACAGGAUAUGAUGUGUGGUUCAGCCCUGGCAGAAAACUCAGGCCAGCAGCAGGAUUUCUGGAGGAACGUGUACGCAGUGUCAGGUGAAGGCUUCGUUCUGGCAGGAAGAAGAACUCAGCAGCACAGGAACGCCAAAAACACUGCCUCAUUUUGUCUGAACCAGAACAGAACAACAUCUGGCUCAGGUUUCCCGACACAUGCUGCAAACUGCCAUCCACAGAGCAACGUGGACCCGGUCAAACGGGACGGUCCCACUUCAGCAAAUUUUCACCCCGGGCAUGCUGAGGUCACAUCUCAUGGACUAAGGACCUGUUCAACACUCAGAAAUGUCACAGGAUUUCACAGGAUUUCACAGGAUUUCUGUGUGACUCUUCUGGGAUCCCGUUGUUCUUGACAAAGAUCAUGCGCAUGGCCAAGAAGGAAAGGAGUGGUGAUCUUCUCCAAAACACUGGUUUGCUCCCAAAAGCUUACAGACAGGAAGGUGACGUAGCCCUACAGCUGCUGCCAGCACUCCUCCCUGCUGCACCUUACAAAGUAGGAAGAAAGGUUUUCAGCAACCUGGAAGUUGAGAAGGCCUUUACUGAUAUCCAGCCUGUUGGGAUAAACAUGGGCUGUAUCCCAAUUCAGAGGCUGCAUCCUUGGAGGACCCGGCCUUCGGUCUCGUGGGCCGCGUCCUCCAAAGACCGAAAAGGCUGGAGCGCGAGGCUUGUGAACUGGGAUGCUCUAGCCUUCUAGUCACCAGCUGUACACGCCCGUACCACUUCUCCCGAUCAGUGAAAUGGAAAUGCGGAAAACAUACCCGCUACUCUCGUCUUUCUUCUACUUGAAGAGCGACAACAAAAUCAGUCGUCACAGACGAGUGAUUUUCCUGUGACUAAGACAUAACAACGUUCAGACCAGACCGCUGUCCUGCAGGAGUAACUUGCAGUUACUCCUCCUCCCAGUCCUGGACAGGUUUUUAAAUGAUGAGGCCUGAUUUUCAGCUGAGCAGGGAGUCUCUGAAAGUGCUGCUGAAUCUACUUAACCAGGAUCGGAGACAUGGUUGGGGUGCCACAAUUGAGGUCCUUGUGUUUCUGUUCUGGCUGGCAAGUGGAGCAUCCUACAGAGUCGUCUCCAGGGUGUUUGCAAUACCUCGUUCCACUGUUCACCGCAUCGUCCACAGGGUCACAGAGGAGGUGGUGGCCAUUUGCCAUCAGGUCAUCCACCUCCCUCGGACCCCUGAAGAUCUAGACAUUGUCUCAUGGGUUUGCAGAGCUGGCAGGACACAGAGCCUUUUUAAAAGCUGCUGGUGCAACUGAUUGCUGCCAUGUCCGCAUCAAGCCUCCCAGCGGCCCUGACGGUCUCUGCUACAGGAACAGGAAAUUGUUCCCCUCCAUAAUCCUGCAGGCUGUUUGCGACCAUCUGGGCUGCUUCAUCGAUACAUUGUGGGCUGGCCGGGGUCAGUUCAUGACUCCAGGAUGCUACGCAACAGCCCACUGUACCGACAGGCCCUUUACCCUCC
This is a long non-coding RNA of Oreochromis aureus, 1754 nucleotides long. RefSeq lists it as uncharacterized. The record is from RefSeq and is a predicted model, not a curated record. NCBI's taxonomy places the organism in Eukaryota, Metazoa, Chordata, Actinopteri, Cichliformes, Cichlidae. The transcript has 7 exons.